UAGAUACCCCACUAUGCCCAGCCGUAAACUUUAAAUUACACCCACAUCGCCAGGGAACUACGAGCAAAGCUUAAAACCCAAAGGACUUGACGGUACCCCACAUCCACCUAGAGGAGCCUGUCCUGUAAUCGAUAAUCCACGCUUAACCUCACCAUUUUUAGCCCAUCAGCCUGUAUACCUCCGUCGUCAGCUUACCUCGUGAGCGAUUUUUAGUGAGCUUAAUGUCCACACGCCAAUACGUCAGGUCAAGGUGCAGUAAAUAAAAUGGGAAGAGAUGGGCUACACUCUCUAACAUAGAAUAUACGAAAGACUACAUAUGAAAUCUAGUCAGAAGGCGGAUUUAGUAGUAAAAAGAGAUCAUAAAGCUCUUUUUAACAUGGCACUGGGGUGUGUACACACCGCCCGUCACCCUCUUCAAAGCUAAGAGAUAGUAUUUAACAUAACAUAGCAAACCAGAAGAGGCAAGUCGUAAA
This 473-nucleotide ribosomal RNA is filed under the name Sarcohyla sp. UTA A-62065. RNAcentral's name for it is "partial small subunit ribosomal RNA". It matches the Rfam family "Bacterial small subunit ribosomal RNA", at positions 779 to 1492 of the family's 1533-position model. The record is from RNAcentral. Lineage: Eukaryota; Metazoa; Chordata; Amphibia; Anura; Hylidae.